CCGCAGAUCUUGCGCGUGCAGGUGGAAUAAGAGUGAUUAUGUAUAUGUAUAUACUGUCUAUCAGCUGUUUAUACAUACUCGUGCAUGUGUGCCAACUCAUACUCGCUUUUGUGUGUAAUUUAUCGUCUCGCGAUUCCAACUUUGCCGCUGAAAACUUGCUCGAGUUAAUCAGUUAUUGGACGUUACAAAUCAAAAAGUCAGCGCACGUAUAAAGCUAAACACGGGAUGACAAACUUAUCAACACGGCUGGAAUCGGUACCUAGUUGAUGAAUGGUGGAAGACGGCGUUUUUGGCCCUGUAGGCCAAAUCAUCAUCUACAGCACCAUCGCAGUGACACUAGUGAUUGCCUUACUCAUUAUAGCCUGCUUCGUUACACCUGGAUGCAUUGGCUACGAGUGUGUGAGACCAAAAAAAAAACAAUCUGUCACAGACGGGAAUCCUAACGAUAAAAUCAACGAAAAUCUAAAAUUAAAUGAUGUCAGCUAUCGAUCUUGGCGAGUUGGAAGUUUAUAUGAUACUGAAAGUGGUACCAUAUUCGAAAAUUCAGUAUCUCCCAGGCAAUCAAUAAACUCUAAUGACAGUCAAAUUGAAGCGUCUGAUCCGAAUUCCAUUGCAAGUGUAACUCUUCCAUCAAAGCAAAAUGUAAAAGAUACAGACUUUCCAACAGAACUAACUCUUAGCCUCAGAUAUUUACCUUAUUGUGAAGGAGUCACAGCUUCAAAGUUUGUUAUUGGAGUCGAGACAUUGUUAGGACUUCCUCCAAAACAAUAUAAUUGUACUUUAGAACCUUAUGUGACAUUAGAUUUAUAUAAACAAUCUUGGACGAAUCGGAAAAAACAAAAAUUAUAUAGCUUUAAAACCAAAGGAGUCAAGCAUACUGCCAAUCCAGUUUUUAAAGAAUCUUUUGUAAUUUCGGGAGCAAAUCCACAAGACAUAAAAGAGUGGAUGCUCAACAUUGAAGCCUAUGACCAUGAUCGUUAUGCUAAUCAUACUAAAUUAAGCGAGCUUCAAGUUCAAUUAAAGGACACGAAGAGAAUAUUUCUUUCCCCGGAAACUCAUCUUUUCAAUUUUCAAAUGAAAACUUCAAAACAGGAGUAUGGAAGUAUACUACUUGGAAUAAGCUAUUUACCAACGGCACAACGCUUAUCGAUAAAUGUUAUGAAAGCACGCAACAUCAAUUUUAUGCCAACGAUACCAAAUAUUCAAGAAUUCAACCCUUUUGUUCGGAUUUUGAUGUUAAAUGGACGUACCAGUAAAAGAAUAAAGAAAUUAAAAACUAAAGUUGUUCCAGCCGUAAGAGAACCUGAAUUUAACGAAACUUUAACAUUUGAUUUGCCGCCGAAUAAAAUAGAUUCGCUACAGUUCCUAAUAAUUUUAUGUAGCAAGUCAAAAAUAGAUACGUCUACCAUGCCUAUGAUGAAUGAAUUACCUAGUGAUAGCGAGGAUUCGGUCGUUUCAUUUCAAAAAGCCAAAGAUGUUUGUAUAGGAAAAGUUGCUCUUGGCAAAGGAGUUCGUGGUACAACGGAAAGACUGCACUGGUUUUCUAUUUUUCAAAAUCCCAGAAAACUCGUAACAGUGUGGCAUAGCCUCAAAUGAUGAAUACCUUUUCCUCAGUAGCUUUUUUGAGCAUAACAAAUGCCAUACUUAUGUGCCAUAAGAGCCGAGAAGUGUGCCCAAUAGUUAUAAAAAUUGCUUUUUUAUAAAUGUACUAUAUCUUCAAAAUUUAAUAAAAAAC
RNAcentral lists this unclassified non-coding RNA (1735 nucleotides) under Trichogramma pretiosum. RNAcentral's name for it is "synaptotagmin-B-like, transcript variant X4". The record is from RNAcentral. Lineage: Eukaryota; Metazoa; Arthropoda; Insecta; Hymenoptera; Trichogrammatidae.